AGUGAACGCUGGCGGUAGGCUUAACACAUGCAAGUCGAACGGCAGCACAGUAAGUGCUUGCUCUUACGGGUGGCGAGUCGCGGACGGGUGAGGCACACAUCGGAAUCUACUUUUUCGUGGGGGAUAACGUAGGGAAACUUACGCUAAUACCGCAUUCGACCUCCUGUUGAAAGCAGGGGAUCUUCAAGCCUUGCGCGAAUGAAGGAGUCGACGUCGGAUUUGUUAGUUGGCGGGGUAAAGGCCCACCAAGGCGACGAUCCGUAGCUGGUCUGAGAGGAUGAUCAGCCACACUGGAACUGAGACACGGUCCAGACUCCUACGGGAGGCAGCAGUGGGGAAUAUUGGACAAUGGGCGCAAGCCUGAUCCAGCCAUACCGCGUGGGUGAAGAAGGCCUUCGGGUUGUAAAGCCCUUUUGUUGGGAAAGAAAAGCAGCAGGUUAAUACCCCGCUGUUCUGACGGUACCCAAAGAAUAAGCACCGGCUAACUUCGUG
Molecule: ribosomal RNA, 492 nt
Filed under: uncultured bacterium
Lineage: Bacteria
Description: partial 16S ribosomal RNA
Rfam family: Bacterial small subunit ribosomal RNA
Source: RNAcentral